GCUGCCUGUAAGUCUGGGUGUUGGGGAAGUGACGUCUGGGACCCUUGGGAGAGUGUGGGCUGAAGUCUGUGAGGAGGGCUCCCCUCAACCGUAACUUUGCUGUUGUGUCUUCCCCAGGCAGGGACAGUGCCCAGGGCUCUGAUGUGUCUCUCACAGCUCCUAAAGUGUGACAGAGCUGCUUUCUACAGGACUUUUGCUAAAACAGUCACUACAGCCUUCCCUGGGGACUUCAAGGGUCCCUGACUGCUGCUUCUGUACCCAGCAACUGAAUGUUAUUUAACCAUCUCAGUGUGCCUGCAUUAAUUUAAUAUUACUCAUAAAUAUAUAUAAGUAAAUCAGAAGUGAUUUAGAUUAAAAGCUCCAAGGUGUA
Molecule: long non-coding RNA, 370 nt
Organism: Phyllostomus discolor (pale spear-nosed bat)
Lineage: Eukaryota; Metazoa; Chordata; Mammalia; Chiroptera; Phyllostomidae
Exons: 2
Source: RefSeq, a predicted model, not a curated record